GGUUUGAUUAUGGCUCAGAUUGAACGCUGGCGGGAUGCUUUACACAUGCAAGUCGAACGGCAGCCUGGACUUCGGUCUGGUGGCGAGUGGCGAACGGGUGAGUAAUGUAUCGGAACGUGCAUAAUGGCAGGGGAUAACUACGCGCGAAAGCGUAGCUAAUACCGCAUACGCCCUUCGGGGAAAGCGGGGGACCUUCGGGCCUCGCACUAUUAGAGCGGCCGAUAUCGGAUUAGCUAGUUGGUGAGAAGUAACGGCUCACAAGGCGACGAUCCGUAGCUGGUUUGAGAGGACGACCAGCCACACUGGGACUGAGACACGGCCCAGACUCCUGGGAGGCAGCAGUGGGAAUUUUGGACAAUGGGGAAACCCCGAGUCAGCCAUCCCGCGUGUGCGAUGAAGGCCUUCGGGUUGUAGCACUUUUGGCAGGAAAGAAACGGCACGGGAUAAUACCCCGUGCAACUGACCAGUACCUGCAGAAUAAGCACCGGCUAACUACGUGCCAGCAGCCGCGGUAAUACGUAAAGUGCAAAGCGAUUAAUCGAAUUUUACUGGGCGUAAAGCGUGCGCGGGCGGUUCGGAAAAGAAAGUGUGAAAUCUGAGCUUAACUUUGGAACUGCAUUUUUAACUGCGAGCUAGAGUGUGUCAGAGGGAGGUGGAAUUCCGCGUGUAGCAGUGAAAUGCGUAGAUAUGCGGAGGGAACACCGAUGGCGAAGGCAGCCUCUGGGAUAACACUGACGCUCAUGCACGAAAGCGUGGGGAACAAACAGGAUUAGAUACCCUGGUAGUCCACGCCCUAAACGAUGUCAGCAACUAGCUGUUGGGGCCUUCGGGCCUUGGUAGCGCAGCUAACGCGUGAAGUUGACCGCCUGGGGAGUACGGUCGCAAGAUUAAGAACUCGAGAAUUGACGGGGACCCGCACAAGCGGUGGAUGAUGUGGAUUAAUUCGAUGCAACAUGAAAAACCUUACCUACCCUUGACAUGUCUGGAAUCCCGAAGAGAUUUGGGAGUGCUCAUAAGAGAACCGGAACUGGGUGCUGCAUGGCUGUCGUCAGCUCGUGUCGUGAGAUGUUGGGUUAAGUCCCGCAACGAGCGCAACCCUUGUCAUUGAUUUUGCUACGAAGGGCACUCUAAUGAGACUGCCGGUGACAAACCGAAGGUGGGGAUGACGUCAAGUCCUCAUGGCCCUUAUGGGUAGGGCUUCACACGUCAUACAAUGGUCGGGACAGAGGGUCGCCAACCCGCGAGGGGGAGCCAAUCCCAGAAACCCGAUCGUAGUCCGGGUCGCAGUCUGCAACUCGACUGCGUGAAGUCCGGAAUCGCUGUAAUCGCGGAUCAGCAUGUCGCGGUGAAUACGUUCCGGGUCUUGUACACACCGCCCGUCACACCAUGGGGUGGGUUUUACCAGAAGUAGUUAGCCUAACCGUAAGGAGGCGAUUACCACGGUAGGAUUCAUGACUGGGGGUGAAGUCGUAACAAGGUAA
RNAcentral lists this ribosomal RNA (1481 nucleotides) under uncultured Bordetella sp. RNAcentral describes it as "partial 16S-23S ribosomal RNA intergenic spacer". It matches the Rfam family "Bacterial small subunit ribosomal RNA". Lineage: Bacteria; Pseudomonadati; Pseudomonadota; Betaproteobacteria; Burkholderiales; Alcaligenaceae. The record is from RNAcentral.